AACGAACGCUGGCGGCAUGCCUAACACAUGCAAGUCGAACGAGACCUUCGGGUCUAGUGGCGCACGGGUGCGUAACGCGUGGGAAUCUACCCUUGGGUUCGGAAUAACAGUUAGAAAUGACUGCUAAUACCGGAUGAUGACGUAAGUCCAAAGAUUUAUCGCCCAAGGAUGAGCCCGCGUAAGAUUAGCUUGUUGGAGGGGUAAUGGCCUACCAAGGCGACGAUCUUUAGCUGGUCUGAGAGGAUGAUCAGCCACACUGGGACUGAGACACGGCCCAGACUAGUACGGGAGGCAGCAGUGGGGAAUAUUGGACAAUGGGCGAAAGCCUGAUCCAGCAAUGCCGCGUGAGUGAUGAAGGCCUUAGGGUUGUAAAGCUCUUUUACCAGGGAUGAUAAUGACAGUACCUGGAGAAUAAGCUCCGGCUAACUCCGUGCCAGCCGCCGCGGUAA
This 449-nucleotide ribosomal RNA is filed under the name uncultured bacterium. RNAcentral's name for it is "partial 16S ribosomal RNA". It matches the Rfam family "Bacterial small subunit ribosomal RNA", at positions 29 to 523 of the family's 1533-position model. The record is from RNAcentral.